GAACUGAAGAGUUUGAUCAUGGCUCAGAUUGAACGCUGGCGGCAGGCCUAACACAUGCAAGUCGAGCGGAUGAAGGGAGCUUGCUCCUGGAUUCAGCGGCGGACGGGUGAGUAAUGCCUAGGAAUCUGCCUGGUAGUGGGGGAUAACGUCCGGAAACGGGCGCUAAUACCGCAUACGUCCUGAGGGAGAAAGUGGGGGAUCUUCGGACCUCACGCUAUCAGAUGAGCCU
Molecule: ribosomal RNA, 229 nt
Filed under: Pseudomonas aeruginosa
Lineage: Bacteria; Pseudomonadati; Pseudomonadota; Gammaproteobacteria; Pseudomonadales; Pseudomonadaceae
Also listed under: 1 other name
Description: partial 16S ribosomal RNA
Rfam family: Bacterial small subunit ribosomal RNA
Source: RNAcentral